RNAcentral lists this long non-coding RNA (4171 nucleotides) under Nicotiana tabacum (common tobacco). Its description in RNAcentral is "long non-coding RNA (NTAB_LNC011553)". The record is from RNAcentral. Lineage: Eukaryota; Viridiplantae; Streptophyta; Magnoliopsida; Solanales; Solanaceae.
GCUGGUCUUGUAUUAGUAUUUAGAUCUUUAGAUGCUCGUGGCUUGUGACACCCCGAUUUCAGGCUGAGUCGGGAUGGUUUCCAUUAUUCUAUCAUGUUUACUUCGCACUUGUAAUUAUAUUAUCUGCGAAUUAGACUUAUUCAUGCUAAGUAAUUAUAAAGAGAUGUAUUGUUUUGUUAUUGGUUGGCCUUGUCUCCACGAGAGGCGCCAUCACGACCAGGUUGGGAUUUUGGGUCGUGACACAGAUAAUGGGGGCUCCCUUUCUCUGAAGAAGAUAGCAGCGCAAAAGAGAGGGACUCUCUCUAGUUUUCCCUUCAGUCGCGAGUUUCCCAUCUUGCUCCCCUUCGUUAUUCGAUCAUCUUCUCCUUCUUCUAUCACUCAUCUUCCUCAUUCGAAAUUCCCAUAAACACACAUGAAAUAGAGAGGAAAUAGCUUUGAAAUUAAAAAAAAGAUAAAAAAAAUCAUCAGAUCUGGAAGCUUUAAAGUUUAAAAGUUUUUCCUGGGUUGGUGCUGUUCGAAGUCCGAAUCAUCGAGUCUGCUGUUGCUGAGCUCCGAUCUUCUGUUUUGCUGGCCCUUAUUUGGGUCAACUUGGCUAUUUCUUUCGCUUAGCAGGUAAACACAAAAGCUUUGUAAUUAUUUAUAUUUUUAAAUGAUAAGAAACAUGAAUUUCUCCAUAAAUGCUGAAUGGUUUUAAGCUGUGAUGAUUUUUUUCCGUUAAUGUUUGUGUGGAAAACAGUGGAUAAGUUAGUCAGCUACUGAAGUGUGAUGGAAGCAUCCGAAAAAAUGGUUCAAACAAAUUUGGAUACUUGGUUUGGGUGUUUUAAUAUUGUCUGUUUUUUGUUGGUUUAAUCUGAAAUUGUAGGCAAUGGUCCUACCCCCAUGAAAGACACUAGUAUCAUGUUUUCCAUAAAAAUUGUUCUCAGAUCCAUUUUAUUAUGGAAUUACUGUUGUUGUUUAGCUUGUAUAUGAAAUAAUGGUUUAGAACCCACAUGUGUGCAUACUAAGUUUGUGUGCAUUCUUAGUUGGUUCUGUGAACAGUAGUUUAGUGCUUUUAGGUUCAUUUUGUCGAUUUGUUGUUGCUUGCUGAAGAAAAAUGAGAAUUUCGCACACCACGAUUGAGGGAAAACAUUUGCAUUAAUAUUCUCCGUACGAUCUGCUUCCUUAGCUUCUUCUUGAACCAUAUAGUAUGAAUUAGUAGUACACGAAUCAAAAAUGUAAACAAGCUUAAUUAGUGGGAUUUCAUAAAAGACGAUAAAAAAAAAAGAGAAAAGGAGAUCAAGAAAGCUGAGGGUUUGACUACAAAAACGUGAGAAAGCUUACGAGAAAUAUUGAGUUGCUUCUUUUGAGCUUUUCCAUUGAAAAUGAUACUAGUAUAUAACCAAGUGCUUCAGAUUUGUCAAGAUCCUCUACUCUCCCAUUGAUUUUGUUAUUGUUCUAAUUUGCUUCAUCCCUUUUGGAAUUGGAUUAUGUACUACUGAAUUUGCUCAUUCUUCCUAGCUAUAAUAAUUCGUCAUUCGAUUUGUUCUUUGAAGCAUUUGAUCAAUUUUUUUUAAAAGAAAAUUAGUAUUCCAUUAUCAACUGUUUCUCGUUUCCAAAUUCAUAUCCAAUUAGGUUGCUGGCUAACCCAUGAGUUAUCUGUAUAUGUUGUAAAAUAAUUAGCCAAAUUACAAAGUAGAUUUGUGAAUCCAUAAUGGUAAUUAUAGCUAUUAUCUCCCAAUGUUUAAUUUCUUAAAUCCAUGGCCCUCACUUAAUUAAUUUCAAUCCUUUAGAAAUCAAGGUAUUCCAUUUAUAUGAAUUUUCCAUGGCCCUCGCAAAUUAAAGAAAAUGCGUAGUUGCUUUAGACGCAUUAUUUUAAUAAAUUACCUUCCUAAACUCGGGUGCGCAUUUAUGUGACCCAAAUCCAAACUCAACAAUGUUAUAUAAAAUGUGUUGCGGACUGCGGGUGCAUUUAUGUGACGUGGUUCAAAACAUAUUUUAAAUGGCAUUGCAAUUUUCUUUAAAAUGAAUAAAAGCGAUUUUAAAGUUAAAAUGCACAUAGAUUUGAAACAUGUAUUAAAAUCAGGUAAUAGGCCAAUUAUAACAAUUGGGCGACCGUGCUAGAACCACAGAACUCGGGAAUGCCUAACACCUUCUCCCGGGUUAACAAAAUUCCUUUCCUGGAUUUCUGGUUCGCGGACUGUAAUACAGAGUUAAUCUUUUCCUCGAUUCGGGAAUUGAACCGGUGACUUGGGACACCAUAAAAUUAUCCCAAGUGGCAACUCUAAAUUUGAUAAAUAAAUAAAUAAUCUCAUUUCGAUUGUCACUUUAAUUGGAAAAAAAAAACUCAUAUAUACACCUCUUCCGGGGGUGUAGUGAAAAAAGGAAGUGUGACACUAUUGGGCGCAAAACCAUGUUGAACAGCAAAAUUACCGAGGGACAAAAUGUGAUUGAUAAAAUUUCUGACUUACAAUAAGAAUUAUUGAUUCAUAGAAAUAUUAUAUUUCACCAGUAAUUUUGUAAGUUAAAUUUUAUUGAUCAAAGUUUGGUUCAUAGUCCAGAUGACACCAAAUCUACUACAUUUAGACCAUACAAAUCCAGCAAGUUUAUUUUUGAAGGUCAUUAAAAUAGUGGGGGAUUGUGGCAAUAUUUUAAUGCCCUUUGUUAGACAAAUGUCUUACCCAAAAACAUGUGGCAAGCCUUCUAGAAGGGAAGAGAUAAAUUGUAAGAAGUUUUUGAAAAGUGGCAAUUACUUUGCCACGUUCCUUUCCCUCAGCAUAUCAUUCUAUGCACAUAUGCCUAUAAAUAGGCUCUCAAUCGGAUAAGAAAAUCAUCAUCAGCAAGACAAAAGGAAAUCCUUCUUCUCUUUCCUUCUAAUUUCAUUAUUCACCAACUUCCCUUUGUUGUCUUUCUUUUUGGUAGUUUAAUUUCUCUUGUUGCCCAUUUUUAAAUAGUUGGGUUUGUAAUAUUUAAUUUUGCUGAUUCCUGUAUCCUCUAAAUAAAUAGAGAUGUGGUUGUUUAAUCCUGAAAAAAUAUUUCACAUUGCUGAAAUAGUUUCUUUGAACAGUGCCCAGCACGACUCAAGCCAAUUCAUGUAUCUGCUUUCAAAUAAUAUUAAAGCAGUAUUAUUAUUGAAAUUCUUGCUCUAACUUACUACUACAAAAUAUACAUCCCUAGGUCAGAAGCUUGCAAAUAUGGAACCUUAUAAGUCUUUCUCUUCAUCAAUUAAGUACACUUAAUUCUCAUUAAGAAUUAUUUUUCUUUAAGAGAAAAAGAAAGGGAGAAACUUGGGGCGAUUUACUUAAAAGUGAUUUUCUAGAGAGAGAAAGGGAGAAACAUGUGGCAUCUUACGGAAUUUUUACCUCCUAUAGAAAAGGUUAAUAACUUAUUUAUUUUAAAUAAAUACCAUUUUAAAAAAUUAUAUUCUAUAGAUACCUUUUAAGGUUUAUAGCAAAAUAUUUAAUUUUGGUUACCUCCUAGCUCUAAGCCACUAAUUACGUUAUUCAGUUAUACUAUUUUAUUUCUCUCUCUACUUUGAUACAUCCCAUUCUCUUCCCCCAUUCUCUGAAAAUACGAUGCUCAAUCUCAAAAUUCCUCUCACCCACACUAUUUUCUUUUCAUUCCGAUCAAUUUCUUGCACCAAAUAUUUGAAUUGCGAUUUCUCUGUCAUCAAUACACUCUCUCUGAAGUUUCAAAACCACUUGAGUUUACUAUGUAUUCAAAUGUUAAUAUGUUUAUCUCUUUGUUCAUUCUUCAUCUGUUGGUUGCUGCCAGUGUUAGAGGACACGAGAUCAAGAAAGGAGAUUUCUCUGUUAAGGUCACUAAAAGCAAAUCAAAAUGCAUAUGUUUCGCCGGAUUCACCGAAAUAAGAAAAUAAGAAGACGCGUGUUGUACCUUCAAAUCUCAAAGGUGUCGCGUGUUGUACCUUCAAACGUUGCUACAGCGGAUUCGCCGGAAAUUAGGGUUUGUUCUUGAACAAAGACGACGUAGUUUGAAGAUGAGCAACUUAUUUUCUGUUAAUAUAUUUCAAUGUAUUAUCAUGUAUUUCAUUGUAUUCAUUGUCUUUUUUUUUAUUGUAAUUCAAUGUAUCUCGUUGUAUCCCAUGUAUUUCAUUGUAUUCACUGUCAUUUUUUUUAUUGUAUUUCAAUGUAUCCCGUUGUAUUCUAUGUAUUUCAUUGUAUUCACUGUCUCGCNN